Molecule: long non-coding RNA, 382 nt
Organism: Notothenia coriiceps (black rockcod)
Lineage: Eukaryota; Metazoa; Chordata; Actinopteri; Perciformes; Nototheniidae
Exons: 3
Source: RefSeq, a predicted model, not a curated record
AAAGGUUCGUCUAAUGAGAACACAGAUUCUCCCAACCUGUCAGCUAUAGACAGAGCUAGCUUCCUGGAGGGACUGCAGCUAAACUAUGGCAACCCUCUUCACAGCACUGCCUUGGAAGAAGAUUUAAACGUCGAGGAACAGGUGAACGAAGGAAAGGCUGGGAGAAAGGAAAUUCCUCAGACGUUGAAGGCUGCUGGUAAAGAGCGUGGAGCUGAGGAGAAGAGGAAGGAGGCGCAGAGGGAUGGAGAGGGGAAGGAGGAAGAGGAGAAGAAAAAGAGGAGGAGUGCUGUGAAGACGUCUGCAGCGAGGCCGGAGAAGAAUCAGCUGGUGAAGAAAGGCAAGAAGAGAAAGAGCGGGAUGUCAUGUGACCCAGAGCCACAGG